RNAcentral lists this ribosomal RNA (490 nucleotides) under uncultured bacterium. RNAcentral's name for it is "partial 16S ribosomal RNA". It matches the Rfam family "Bacterial small subunit ribosomal RNA", at positions 30 to 507 of the family's 1533-position model. The record is from RNAcentral.
AUUGAACGCUGGCGGCAGGCCUAACACAUGCAAGUCGAACGGUAACAGGAAGCAGCUUGCUGCUUUGCUGACGAGUGGCGGACGGGUGAGUAAUGUCUGGGAAACUGCCUGAUGGAGGGGGAUAACUACUGGAAACGGUAGCUAAUACCGCAUAACGUCGCAAGACCAAAGAGGGGGACCUUAGGGCCUCUUGCCAUCGGAUGUGCCCAGAUGGGAUUAGCUAGUAGGUGGGGUAACGGCUCACCUAGGCGACGAUCCCUAGCUGGUCUGAGAGGAUGACCAGCCACACUGGAACUGAGACACGGUCCAGACUCCUACGGGAGGCAGCAGUGGGGAAUAUUGCACAAUGGGCGCAAGCCUGAUGCAGCCAUGCCGCGUGUAUGAAGAAGGCCUUCGGGUUGUAAAGUACUUUCAGCGGGGAGUAAGGGAGUAAAGUUAAUACCUUGGCUCAUUGACGUUACCCGCAGAAGAAGCACCGGCUAACUCCGUG